UACGGAGGGUGCAAGCAUUGAUCGGAAUUACUGGGCGUAAAGGGCGCGUAGGCGGCCUAAAAAGUCGGAUGUGAAAUUCCGGGGCUCAACCCCGGAGCUGCAUUUGAAACUCUUAGGCUAGAGGAUAGUAAGGGAAAACGGAAUUCCACGUGUAGCGGUGAAAUGCGUAGAUAUGUGGAAGAACACCAGUGGUGAAGACGGUUUUCUGUGCUAUAACUGACGCUGAGGCGCGAAAGCUAGGGGAGCAAACAGG
RNAcentral lists this ribosomal RNA (253 nucleotides) under uncultured bacterium. RNAcentral describes it as "partial 16S ribosomal RNA". It matches the Rfam family "Bacterial small subunit ribosomal RNA", at positions 524 to 776 of the family's 1533-position model. The record is from RNAcentral.